Molecule: ribosomal RNA, 253 nt
Filed under: uncultured bacterium
Lineage: Bacteria
Description: partial 16S ribosomal RNA
Rfam family: Bacterial small subunit ribosomal RNA
Source: RNAcentral
UACAGAGGUCCCGAGCGUUGUUCGGAUUCACUGGGCGUAAAGGGUGCGUAGGCGGUUCUGAAAGUCUGAUGUGAAAUCUCCAGGCCCAACCUGGAAACGGCAUUAGAAACUACAGGGCUAGAGGCUUGGAGGGGGAACUGGAAUGCUCGGUGUAGCAGUGAAAUGCGUAGAGAUCGAGCGGAACACCAGUGGCGAAGGCGAGUUCCUGGACCAGCACCGACGUUCAGGCACGAAAGCGUGGGGAGCAAACAGG